UGCGUAGGUGGGCAGGUAAGUCAGUGGUGAAAUCUCCGAGCUUAACUCGGAAACUGCCAUUGAUACUAUUUGUCUUGAAUAUCCUGGAGGUAAGCGGAAUAUGUCAUGUAGCGGUGAAAUGCUUAGAUAUGACAUAGAACACCCAUUGCGAAGGCAGCUUACUACGGGAUUAUUGACACUGAGGCACGAAAGCGUGGGGAUCAAACA
RNAcentral lists this ribosomal RNA (207 nucleotides) under uncultured bacterium. Its description in RNAcentral is "partial 16S ribosomal RNA". It matches the Rfam family "Bacterial small subunit ribosomal RNA", at positions 568 to 774 of the family's 1533-position model. The record is from RNAcentral.